This 208-nucleotide ribosomal RNA is filed under the name uncultured bacterium. RNAcentral's name for it is "partial 16S ribosomal RNA". It matches the Rfam family "Bacterial small subunit ribosomal RNA", at positions 568 to 774 of the family's 1533-position model. The record is from RNAcentral.
CGUGUAGGCGGUGUGUUAAGUUGGACGUGAAAUCUCUCGGCCUAACUGGGAGCGGCCGUUCAAUACUGGCACACUUGAGGGUAGGAGAGGGAGGUGGAAUUCCCGGUGUAGCGGUGGAAUGCGUAGAUAUCGGGAGGAACACCCGUGGCGAAAGCGGCCUCCUGGUCUACUCCUGACGCUGAUACGCGAAAGCGUAGGGGAGCAAACG